Molecule: long non-coding RNA, 270 nt
Organism: Humulus lupulus (European hop)
Lineage: Eukaryota; Viridiplantae; Streptophyta; Magnoliopsida; Rosales; Cannabaceae
Exons: 4
Source: RefSeq, a predicted model, not a curated record
AUUCUUUGGUUGGAUGAAUCCCCUUAUGCAGCGUGCAUAUCAAAGACCAAUAAUAGAGAAGGAAGUGUGGAAGUUAGAUACUUGGGAUAGAACAGAAACAUUGAAUGCUAAGUUCCAAGAAUGUUGGGUUAAAGAAUCUCAGAAGCCAAAGCCAUGGCUGUUAAAAGCAUUAAACAGUAGCCUUGGAGGAAGGUUUUGGUGGGGAGGCUUUUGGAAGAUGUGACAAGCGAAAUUGAAAAUGAUACUUAAUUUUGAAGGCUUUGUGUUGGC